This 119-nucleotide ribosomal RNA is filed under the name Pteropus alecto (black flying fox). Lineage: Eukaryota; Metazoa; Chordata; Mammalia; Chiroptera; Pteropodidae. The record is from RNAcentral.
UACUACGGCCACGCCACCCUGAAAGCGCCCAAUCUUGUCUGAUCUCGGAAGCUAAGCAGGGUCGGGCCUGGUUAGUAUUUGGACAAGAGACCACUUAGGAAUACUGGGUGCUGUAGGUG